Molecule: long non-coding RNA, 1738 nt
Organism: Setaria italica (foxtail millet)
Lineage: Eukaryota; Viridiplantae; Streptophyta; Magnoliopsida; Poales; Poaceae
Exons: 2
Source: RefSeq, a predicted model, not a curated record
AAUCUUCGGAGCCCAAUAGGUAGCCUGCAGUACACUGCUGGCCCCCACACUGCACAGUGGUCGCUGGUCGGAGUCGGAGGCGAACUCACCACACCGGCGGCCGGUUAGGGUUAGGCCGUGAGCAAAAAUGGCGGCUACCAGUCGCCGGCGGAGCCUCUCCCCGCCAGCCAACUGUAGGCCGCGCGGCUCCCCUCCGGCUAACCAUAGGCGGAGCCGCUCCCCCCCGGCCACCGCAUCCUCGCCGUCCUUCCCGCCGGAUCUGAUCUCCGAGGUCGCGAGGCGCCUCACUAGCCUCCAGGACUUCUUCGCCCUCCGCGCCGCCUGCCGCACCUACCGUACUUCCCGCUGACCCCAUACAACCUCGCCUCCCAAGCGCCGCUCCUCCUCGUCCCGUUCGAGGACACCGAAUCCCAUGCCCCCUUCCACCCAACCCUCCGCCGGAUCCACCGCUUCCGCUUCCACCGCACCCCCUCUCGCCGGCGACGAGUACGCCUUUAUUGACUUCCACUCACUCGGCUUCCGUGUCGCCAUCUAUGAAAUCAGGGGGGUUCCAAUCAGGGGACUUGUGGGCCAGCCCACCCGCUUCAACCUCAGCAUCGUUAACCUCCUCACAGGCGAGCGAACCUGCCUCUCCAGUCCCCCGGAGCGCAUCUCCCGCGUCCUCCUCUACGGCGACCUCGUCCUCACCUGGGAGUACUUCGACCGCGCCAUCCAUUACUGUCGCCUCGAAGCCGCUGACUAGCGUGUGGCGUCAAUCAUCGAGCCCUACAAGCUUCAUAGUUUGGCCUGUGUGAAUGGCGUCCUCUACGCACUGGUUACCCCAGGUUACAUUCUUGCUGUUGUCGAGCUGUCAGAAUACAAGAAUCGGGUGGAAUUGGUGCUUCUCGGAGGCAAUUUGGAUGCAUCCAUUGUGCGAAAGCAUGAGGAAUCAUCUCCACACGCCCGCCACCCCCCCCCCCCCCCCCCCCCCGCGCGCCAGUUGCACCUUGCUGAGUGCUGUGGUGAGCUGAUACUGAUUAGCACCAUGGAAUUCGAUCCACGGGUCUACCAUGUCUUCAAGUGGAAGUUGGGGGAGGCGAAGUGGGAGAGGAUUACUAGCCUUGGUGGGUGCAUGCUGUUUCUCGCAGAUGAUUGUUUGUAGGAUGCCUCAGUCCUGAUCAUAAGGGCAUUCGAGGGGACUCCAUAACAGAAGAUACCGCUGGGGAUUGGUACGAGUAUUCUUUGGAUGAUGGGUCUUUCAACAGAUUUGUCGCCGAAUACCAAGGAGGAGCAGUACCAUUGGAUAUGUGUACUCUGACUUGGGUCCUUCCGAGCAUGUGUUGAUGCACUCGUAUGACUUUAGGUUCAUGAUCAUAAUGGUUCUCUCUUUUGCGUUUCAACUAGUCACUGGUGGUGUCCCAGCACAGCUGUGGCGGUGACAUGUUAGGAGCUUCAGUCCGGAUGCAAGCAUGCAGUCUUGCUGUAGUGACUUCAUUUGGUGUUAUUACAGGUUCAUGAUCUUAAUAGUGAUCGUCUGCAUCUCUUGGUGUUAUUACAAGCAUGUAGCCAAAGGCAAAAGAUGACCUUGAACUUCAUUGUGGAAGUACUUUAACGACCUGUGUGUAUGUGAAAAUCCUUCUGGCGCAGAUGAUGGAUUCGAAUGCUUUUUGUUAAGCAGUUAACUAGAAGUGCAUCUGAAGGACUGUUGUGAUGCGUGUAAUGCUGGCGUGAAGUCAAAAUAGUAUUCCUGUGUUAUGCA